This 9758-nucleotide long non-coding RNA is filed under the name Hordeum vulgare. RNAcentral's name for it is "long non-coding RNA (HVUL_LNC011314)". Lineage: Eukaryota; Viridiplantae; Streptophyta; Magnoliopsida; Poales; Poaceae. The record is from RNAcentral.
ACGCCGAUCAGCUAGUACCGGCGGUCGUCGCCGUCGUGGCCGUGUUGUGCCUGCUCAUCGCCGGCCGCGCGGAUGGCCAGGACGAGUACGUCCCUGCUACCGCGGGGAGCCAAGAGGUGGAGCCGCAGCCGGGGCUGCUGCCGGGGGCCUCCCUGGCCAAGGCGUUCACAGGCGGCUACUUCCCGCAGCAGCCCAAGGCCGAGCCGGAGCCGGAGCAGACGACCACGGAACCGGAGCCGGAGCCGGAGCAGACGACCAGGGAACCGGAGCCGGUCACGCCCACGCGCGACCAGGGCGAUUUCUACCGCACCGGCGUGACCCCGACCGCGCCGGAGCCGCCGGCGAUGCUAACCUCCCCAGAGACGUGGGAGAAGCCGUGGACGCCAUUUGUACCCAAGACGUCGGCGAUUGUUCCCAAGACGCCGACGUAUGUGCCCGAGACGCCGGCGUUUGUGCCCAAGACGCCAUAAUUACCAUGGGCCUUAAAAUUAUUCCCUCCAUCAUGGUUUAAAAGCGCGUGUUUGAAAAUUCUUUCGAACCUAUGUGGUUAUUGAUUGACUGUGAGAUGAGCUGAAAAAUAGCAUUCACAAUCAAAUGCAUAUAAAAGUAGUACAACGAAAUACUAAUUAGCUGCUAAGAGUAAAUUCAAUGCGCCUUAAACCUUGUUUAUUGUGAAAAUGCACGUAAAUUUAACCGUGCCUUCUAAACUGUGACGAAGGAAAUAUAAACGAUGUAUCGAGGCUGACGGGUCUUUUAAACCCGAAAGGAAGUAGUAUUUAAUAGGUCUGAUCGUAGAACAUAUAUGUGCAUCAUCAUCACAUCAGAACCAAUAGUAACAUAAAACAUGACCUACAAAGAUGGACGAUCAUGAGGCAACACGAUAGAGAGACAGAACUACUCAUCCUCCGGUUUAGCAACAAUGAAACCGAGAAAGAGAAAUCUCCCAUCACGUCCAUGGUGGAGCACGAAGAUCAUCAUGUCUUCAAUAUCUAUGUCGUACAUACGACUACUUUGCUCCACCCAUUAAAACCAAUAUUUCCAUCUCCUUGUCACGAAUACGAGUAUGAAGUCGAACCGAGAUGUUAACACUAGGAUGGAGCACAAUGGUUAUAGCUCUUCAUUUGCACUCAUCUCCUUAGGCACAGUAAGUUGUGGGAGUAUCUGGUGAGAGAACACAAUUUGAACACUUUAAGGAAUCUAGAUAAUUGCCGGAGUAUCUGAAGAUAAUGAGUAUGUUGUCAAUAUUGGCCUUGUUCAAACAGUAUUGCGGGGGCAUGUAGGAAUGAUCUCUCGGUCCAGCAUUGUAACCAUUCACGAGCCUUCAAAUUUGAUCAACAAAGCCGAUGGCAAACCUCAUCUCUUCCUAGCUUACUCAUCUUCCGUCAUUAACCUCCAUAUUUUCUAUAAAGUGUUUUGUUACAGUAUUCACUCUGUAAUAAGCUAUCAAAAUAUUUGUAAAUAAGAUCACUUAAAUAUAGCAUCCGGAUGAAAUGUGAUUAUAUAAAUCUAGCUGUAAAUAUGGUUACUUAAAAUUAAUUGCUGGAUAUUUGCCAGAAUCAUUACACGGAUGAGUUAUUGUAUAUCAUUGCUCAAACGUAGACGAUUAGGUUUUCCACCUAGUCCGAGGGGCAUCUCUACACGUACUUCGAACUGAUAUAUUUUGACAAAUUCUUUCCAAAUACGUCAUGUGAAAAAUGUCUUAUCUUUUUAGUUCCUGACCCUGCAUACUUGAAAACAAAAGCUCUCUCCUGUCUUAGAUCUAUUUAUAACUUUACUCAUAUGCACUAUAACCCGUAGCAAUUACCUUUGUUUACACGUAUGAGGAAUUAGCGAAACACACGUUCUUCAGUUAGGUCAUCCAUUAUUGUUGGCAAUAACAUGGUUUAGGACAUCCAUUUCAAUGUGGUUGGUUCGAAAAAUAGCAGUGGCCAUCAAUCCAUGCCGAAAUUAGCAUCUCUCUCCCGGUACAUAAACAGCGUACGCACCAGCAUGCAAAAAAUUCUAAACCACCCACUUCCACGUUAACCGACCAUGCACGCCGAUCAGCUAGUACCGGCGGUCGUCGCCGCCGUGGCCGUGUUGUGCCUGCUCAUCGCCGGCCGCGCGGACGGCCAGGACGAGUACGUCCCUGCUGCCGCGGGGAGCGAAGAGGCGGUGGAGCCGCAGCCGGGGACCGCCGCAGCCGGCGGCGAGGAGUACGUCCCGCAGCCGGGGUUGCUGCCGGGGGCCUCCCUAGCCAAGGCGUUCACCGGCGGCUACUUCCCGCAGCAGCCCAAGGCCGAGCCGGAGCCGGAGCAGACGACCACGGAACCGGAGCCGGAGCCGGAGCAGACGACCAGGGAACCGGAGCCGAUCACGCCCACGCGCGACCAGGGCGAUUUCUACCGCACCGGCGUGACGCCGACCGCGCCUGAGCCGCCUGCGAUGCUAACCUCGCCGGAGACGUGGGAGAAGCCGUGGACGCCAUUUGUACCCAAGACGCCGUCGUAUGUGCCCCAGACGCCGGCGUUUGUUCCCAAGACGCCGUCGUAUGUGCCCCAGACGCCGGCGUAUGUGCCCCAGACGCCGGCGUUUGUGCCCCAGACGCCUGCGUACGUGCCCAAGACGCCGGCGUACGUGCCCCAGACGCCGGCGUACGUGCCCCAGACGCCGGCGUAUGUGCCCCAGCAGCAGAGUGGCGGCGGCGGAUCGUACGCUGGCGGGGGCGGCAACAAGCAGGUGGACGACGACGGGGAGCCGGUGGACGGGCUGAGCCCCAAGGCCAUCGACAACAUCCUCAAGGAGCACAACGCUUUCCGCGCCAAGGAGCACGUGCCCCCUCUCACGUAAGCUAGCUACCACUACUAGACAAUGCAUGCAUGCAUGCAUCCCGCGGCGGCCGGAGACGAUGAGGAUGACAACUCCGGCGAAGCUGAUGGGAUGGAUGGAUGCAGGUGGAACGCGACGGUGGCGCAGUACGCGCAGCAGUACGCGAACAAGCGCAAGGGGGACUGCGCGCUGAAGCACUCGACGGGGCCGUACGGGGAGAACCUCAAGUACGGGGAGGGCAAGGCGUGGACGUGGCGCCACACCGUCGACGAGUGGAGCGAGGAGAAGAAGAACUACCACUACGGCUCCAACUCCUGCGACGCCGGCAAGCAGUGCGGCCACUACACCGCCGUCGUCUGGAAGGGCACCACCGGCGUCGGCUGCGGCCGCGUCACCUGCACCACCGGCGACACGCUCAUGGUCUGCAGCUACUACCCGCCUGGGAACUACGACGGCGAGAAGCCAUACUAAUAAUAAUCCAUCUUAUCAAUCGGUUAAUUAACUUAUUAAUUAUUACUUCUUUCUCAAGUAGUACGUAGUACUACUCAGGUAGUACAAUGCAUUUUUGUCUUAAUCUUUCUUGCACAUACAUAAUAUGUGCAUAAGUUAGCAAUCUUUUUCCUAACAAAUUAAGCCUCGCAGCUGCUGCAUGCAUGCUGUAGAAAAAUAGUACCAGGUACUGUAUUUUGUUUUUUUUGAGCUUUACCAGGUACUGUAUUUCGUUGGCAAGAACAGCUUAUGAUGUAUAUUUUUUUUUACCGAAAUAAUGUGCUUUGUUUUUUGGCAGUAGAGAGAAUACUUACUCUCCUACGAAAGUAGUUACUUUUAUGCAACAAUUGAAAGAGGCAUGCGGUCCUAUAGCUUUGUAAAUUGAAUCCUCUUUUCAAGAAAAAUGGUCGAGUUGUUUUUUUCUGACUUUAAGGAAGACCUUUCAUCCAUCGACCGGAAAGAGAUUCAUACAAGCCGGACAGAAACAUUUACAUUUUGAAUAUGUUUUAAUUAAAAACUAAAACUAUGUGCACGGUUCGGCCUCGCGAAGUUCCAUUUCUAUGACACGGAUAUGCUACGCUAGUCUACGGCCGGUCACGAUGGAUUCUUUUAUUUUCUCCAUAUCCGACAGCCCAGUCAUCGCACCGUCGGGGCCCUGGAGAUACGUUCUUCCUCCUUAAUUAUCUUCUCCAUGUCCGGCUACGCCGUUCAUCAGAGUGGACAAGCACGGCUAGAGGGAAAAUGAUAUGACUUUUUAAUAGGCAUUUCAUAAUGAAUGCUAUCAAGUUGACAAAUUAAGAUGCAUAAUGUAAUAGUAUGCGUUCUUUGGUAUUAUGUCGAUUUUUAGUAAAUAGUUAUAUAACGCCAUUUUUUAAAAUGAGUUGUAAAAUGUUAGCACUUCUAGCUCUUACAUAAUAAGAGCAUCUACGAUCGGACCCAUAUAUCCGUCGGACAGGUUGUCCGGUCAGUAACCGGUUAUAAAAACACGAUCCAACCGGAUGUUAGCACUUCUAGCUCUUACAUAAUAAGAGCAUCUACGAUCGAACCCAUAUAUCCGUCGGACAGGUCGUCCGGUCAGUAACCGGUUAUAAAAACACGAUCCAACCGGAUCUCUCAUAUCCUUCUCAAACGUCCGUACUGACCGGCACCUUUCAUAUUCAUCUCAAAUAUAAUGAUGAUAUGAGGGGCUCGCGGACGCCCCGAACAAACCCGACCAGUCAACUAAGUAGGGCACGACUCCAUCCGGGACCACAUUUUCUCUUUCUUUAUUCAUUCUUUUUUUUCUUUUAUUCUCCAUCAAUCACGUGUAAGUGACCAAGUGAGCAGACAUAUAAAAAAAAUAUAAUUAUACGGACAAAAAUAAAGGUUUAAAAUAAACACGCCCGGUCAUUAAUCGGACGCAUCGACGGAUGAAUAAUUGGUCAUAUUUGCUAUGGCAGGCUCGUAGAUGCUCUAAGCUGGAUCAUUGAAUAAUCAUAUGACAUACGAUUAAAAGGACGUUGCUCCCGAUUGAGGACUGUGCUAGUGGUUUGUAAAAAAUAUUAUCUUUAAUUCUCUUUUUUUUUCCAGUGGUCACCUGUUGUGGUACUACCAAAUGUGGUAUAUGAAAUCCUAUUUAACCCUCAUGUUGCAAGGUUAAUUCCGAAAUUAGUUUUGUCAUUUUCCAUCCACAACCUUGGUGGGGCUAGAUGCCCCUAGCUUGCCCCUAGCUUGCCCCUAGCUUGCCCCUUGGUGUAGUAGGAGGCAGUGCAUGCCCUAGUCCGUGUCAUCCCAAGGUCCGGUCCGGUCGAUGGAGCGCCUGCAGAUCGAUGCAUGGAGCAAGAGACAGUACUGCUAGCAUACACAUAACGCAUGGCUUUUUGCGUAGCUCCGUGCAUGUAGCUGCGCCAGCGAAGUGACACGACGCAUGCAAGCUAGUCGUGGAAAGACGAGCAGCCAAAGCUAGCUGGUGGCCGGAGCAGUAGACACAUCAAGUGCAGGUGGUUCAGGCAGGGCCUCUGGUCGUCCUCCCCUCUGCUUCACUUCACCUCACCUCUCUCUUCUCUGCCUUCCCUCCCACCCGAUGGCGCGCCGCCGCCAUGCCGUCGUGGUCGUCCUCUUCCUCGUGAUCCUCGCCUCCAGCGCCGCCGCCACCGAGGUGCGCGCGUAGCACCCUCGUCGUAAUUAAUCAUGCAUGCUAGAUUGCGCGCGAGCUGGUGGUUUGCUGAUCCUCUCCCNNNNNNNNNNNNNNNNNNNNNNNNNNNNNNNNNNNNNNNNNNNNNNNNNNNNNNNNNNNNNNNNNNNNNNNNNNNNNNNNNNNNNNNNNNNNNNNNNNNNGGAUAUUUGCCAGAAUCAUUACACGGAUGAAUUAUUGUAUAUCACUAGCAAAAAAGGCCCGUGCGUUGCAACGGGAGAAAAAACCACCAUCUUCAAUGGCAAUGACCAUAUUAUGUUCAUAUCUCAUCGCAUGAUUUCGAAAACUUGUUCACAAAUGUAAGAAAUAUUUCUUUAUUUAUUUUAUUCACAAUUCACAAGUUGAAACAAUGUUCAUAUUUAAAAAUAUCAUGGUUAUCAAAAACUUGGUAACUCAAAGAAUUAUUCUGAAUUUCAAGAAACAUUUUAAAAAUAUAGUAUAAUAUUCCGAUCUAUCAUCACAAUUAAUUCUUCAAAAUUCACUCAGGUAUAUAAUCUGAAAGACUCAGAAGCAUUACUAUUGAACGCCAUACAUUCGAUCAUUCGUGAACAUUUUUACAAAUUUGGGAAUAUUUUUAAAAUCAAGAACAUUUUUUACUAUUUAUAAAUAUUUUUUAAAAAUUACAAAUAAUAUUUUAUAUUACAAACUUUUUUCUAGUAUUUUCUUGGGAAUUGGCGAAUAAUUCAUUUUUUGAAUUGUCCAACAUUUUUUUAAUUGCAUUAAAGAAAUUGCUAAAAAUGAUGGACUUUUUUUAUUCACGAAUGUUUUCUCCAAAAUUACGAAUUUUUUAAUAUGCAAAUUCUUUUACAAAAAUCCUGAACAAUUUUUGAAUUCGCAAACAUUUUAUAUUUUAUCAAACAUUUAUGUAAAUAUUUAUUUUUUAAUUUCAAAAGUUUUUGUUGAUUUAUUUGAAAUAUAAAAAAUAAAAAGUAACAGAUAAAUAUUAAUUAAAAACUAAAAAAACAGGCACCUGCCCAUGGGCUGGCCCAAAUGGGCGUGGUGCUUAUUUUCCAACAAGCAGAGCGUAGUAUAGCUGGUCCCUAUGCUUGGGCCGGCCCAUGCGAGAAUUACCUCCAAAACGUUUUUUAUAACUUAUAGGUGGCAUUGAUGGGUAAUUUUAAAGAAUUUUAGAGGUAAAUUUAAUGACGUACCACAGAAGCAAUAGGUGCUUUAUUAAUAGGGAUAGAUUGCUCAAACGUACUUAGAGGUGACGAUUAGGUUUUCCACCUAGUUCGAGGGAUAUCUCCACACGUACUUCGAACUGAUAUAUUUUGACAACUUCUUUCCAAAUACGUCAUGUGAAAAAUGUCUUAUCUUUUUAGUUCUUGACCCUGCAUACUCGAAAACAAAAGCUCUCUCCUGUCUUAGAUCUAUUUAUAACUUUACUCAUAUGCACUAUAACCCGUAGCAAUUACCUUUGUUUACACGUAUGAGGAAUUAGCAUGUGUGUUUGUCCACGUUCUUCUUACCUUCUUCCUUUGGCAAUUAGGCCAUCCAUUAUUGUUGGCAAUAACAUGGUUUAGGACAUCCAUUUCAAUGUGGUUGGUGUUAGACAUUGUAUUACGUAUACACAUGGUAUAUGUAUAAACCAUGUGUAUUACGAUUGUAGGCAUGCGUGUGUGGUUUAAACUAGGGAUAUCUUGUUAGGGUCUAUCUCUUGUGUUUAACCUUGUAGAUAGAGAUAGAUCCUAACUCCUUGUUGUAAUCUCCUAGGUCUUGUGCCUUUAUUAACACGCAUGUGUCCCUGCUAAACGCAUACGCUUCAAGCCUUUCUAUUCUCACAUGGUAUCAGAGCCUAUCUCGUUGCAAAACGGUUUGAACAAUGUUAUGGUCUUGAUUAUGAGGAUACUUUAAAUCCCGUUGUUAAAGCCGCCACCAUCAGAUUGGUUCUGUCUAUAGUUGUCUCUAGGAAUUGGUGUAUGCGACAGUUGGACGUUAAGAACGCGUUUUUGCAUGGUGUUCUGGAAGAGAAUGUUUUUAUGCGACAGCCACCUGGGUAUACAGAUUCAAGGUUUCCGCACUUGGUCUGUAAACUGGAUAAAGCUCUGUAUGGUCUCAAACAGGCUCCCCGUGCAUGGUACUCUCGCUUGUCUUUCAAGCUUCAGUCUCUUGGUUUUCAACCCUCCAAGAGUGAUACCUCACUGUUUUUUUAUUCUCGGAGAGGGGUGACUAUCUUUAUGCUCAUAUAUGUGGAUGACAUUAUUGUUACUAGUUCCUCUGUACAAGCAGUUGAAGCCCUCCUCAGUGAUCUUUGCAUGGACUUUGCACUCAAAGAUCUUGGAUCCCUCCAUUAUUUUCUUGGUAUUGAGGUAACUUCUACUGAUAAUGGUAUUGCUUUAUCUCAAGGGAAAUAUUUGCUUGAUUUGCUUCAACGAGUCAAUAUGAAUGGUUGCAAACCUGUCAGUACUCCUUUGUCUACUUCUGAGAAGUUGUCUUUGUUUGAUGGACAUCCUCUUGGACAUGGAGAUUCUACCAACUAUCGCAGUGUUGUUGGUGCUUUGCAAUACUUAACUCUUACUAGACCAGAUAUUUGUUGUUCGGUCAACAAGGUAUGUCAAUUCUUGCAUGCUCCAACAUCUGUUCACUGGACGGCAGUCAAACGUGUACUUCGUUAUUUACAAGGCACUAUCACCCAUGGUCUGCGUAUAUCUAAGUCUCAUUCCAUGUUAGUCAGCGCAUUCUCUGAUGCAGAUUGGGCUGGUUGCCCUGAUGACAAAAAGUCUACUGGUGGUUUUGCUGUUUUUGUUGGUAGUAAUCUUGUGUCUUGGACUGCACGAAAGCAACCUACAGUUUCUCGCUCCAGCACAGAGGCUGAGUACAAAGCAAUUGCUAAUGCUACUGCCGAGGUAAUAUGGGUAUCGAACCUUUUGACUGAGCUGGGUAUUCCUCAUCCUAAGUCUGCCUCCCUAUGGUGUGAUAAUUUAGGAGCUACAUACUUAUCUGCAAAUCCUAUUUUUCAUGCAAGGACAAAGCAUAUUGAAAUUGAUUAUCACUUUGUCCGUGAGAGAGUGGCUCAGAAACUGCUACACAUACGGUUUAUUCCCACUUGUGAUCAAUUGGCUGGUGGCUUUACUAAACCUCUUACUCUUCGCCAGAUGGUAGUUUUUCGUCGCAAUCUCAACUUGGACAAGUUGUGAUUGAGGGGGGGUGUUAGACAUUGUAUUACGUAUACACAUGGUAUAUGUAUAAACCAUGUGUAUUACGAUUGUAGGCAUGCGUGUGUGGUUUAAACUAGAGAUAUCUCAUUAGGGUCUAUCUCUUGUGUUUAACCUUGUAGAUAGAGAUAGAUCCUAACUCCUUGUUGUAAUCUCCUAGGUCUUGUGCCUUUAUUAACACGCACGCGUCCCUGCUAAACGCAUACGCUUCAAGCCUUUCUAUUCUCACAGUUGGUUCGAAAAAUAGCAGUGGCCACCAAUCCAUGCCGAAAUUAGCAUCUCUCUCCCGGUACAUAAACACGUACGCGCCAGCAUGCAAAAAAUUCUAAACCACCCACUUCCACGUUAACCGAUCAUGCACGCCGAUCAGCUAGUACCGGCGGUCGUCGCCGCCGUGGUCGUGUUGUGCCUGCUCAUCGCCGGACGCGCGGACGGCCAGGACGAGUACGUCCCUGCUGCCGCGGGGAGCCAAGAGGUGGAGCCGCAGCCGGGGCUGCUGCCGGGGGCCUCCCUGGCCAAGGCGUUCACAGGCGGCUAUUUCCCGCAGCAGCCCAAGGCCGAGCCGGAGCCGGAGCAGACGACCACGGAACCCGAGCAGACGACCAGGGAACCGGAGCCGGUCACGCCCACGCGCGACCAGGGCGAUUUCUACCGCACCGGCGUGACCCCGACCGCGCCGGAACCGCCGGCGAUGCUAACCUCCCCAGAGACGUGGGAGAAGCCGUGGACGCCAUUUGUACCCAAGACGUCGGCGAUUGUUCCCAAGACGCCGGCGUAUGUGCCCCAGACGCCGGCGUUUGUGCCCAAGACGCCAUAAUUACCAUGGGCCUUAAAAUUAUUCCCUCCAUCAUGGUUUAAAAGCGCGUGUUUGAAAAUUCUUUCGAACCUAUGUGGUUAUUGAUUGACUGUGAGAUGAGCUGAAAAAUAGCAUUCACAAUCGCAUGCAUAUAAAAGUAGUACAACGAAAUACUAAUUAGCUGCUAAGAGUAAAUGCAAUGCGCCUUAAACCUUGUUUAUUGUGAAAAUGCACGUAAAUUUAACCGUGCCUUCUAAACUGUGACGAAGGAAAUAUAAACGAUGUAUCAAGGCUGACGGGUCUUUUAAACCCGAACGGAAGUAGUAUUUAAUAGGUC